CCCGCUGAACUUAAGCAUAUCAAUAAGCGGAGGAAAAGAAACUAACAAGGAUUCCCUUAGUAACUGCGAGUGAAGAGGGAAGAGCUCAAAUUUGAAAUCUGGCGGUCCUUCGGCUGUCCGAGUUGUAGUUUAGAGAAGUGCUAUCCGCGCUGGCCCGUGCAUAAGUUUCUUGGAAAAGAACAUCAUAGAGGGUGACAAUCCCGUCUUUGGCACGGAUCCCAGGGCUUUUGUGAUGCGCUCUCGACGAGUCGAGUUGUUUGGGAAUGCAGCUCUAAAUGGGUGGUAAAUUCCAUCUAAAGCUAAAUAUUGGCGAGAGACCGAUAGCGAACAAGUACCAUGAGGGAAAGAUGAAAAGAACUUUGAAAAGAGAGUUAAACAGUACGUGAAAUUGUUGAAAGGGAAACGCUUGAAGUCAGUCGUGUCCUCUAGGGAUCAAGUCAGCUCUGGCUGGCCGUACUUUCUAGUUGGAUGGGUCAGCAUCAAUUUUGAUCGCUGGAUAAAGGCCUUGGGAAUGUGGCAUCUUCGGAUGUGUUAUAGACCAUGGUUCUGAUACAGCGGUUGGGAUUGAGGAACUCAGCGCGCCUUCGUGGUUGCGUUCAGGAUGCUGGCAUAAUGGCUUUAAUCGACCCGUCUUGAAACACGG
This 643-nucleotide ribosomal RNA is filed under the name uncultured fungus. RNAcentral describes it as "eukaryotic LSU rRNA". It matches the Rfam family "Eukaryotic large subunit ribosomal RNA", at positions 24 to 664 of the family's 3401-position model. The record is from RNAcentral. Lineage: Eukaryota; Fungi.